GGUGGGGUGGCAGAGUGGUCUAAUGCACCAGUUUUGAAAACUGGCAUGGUUUAAUAGCCAUCGUGGGUUCGAAUCCCACCCCCACCGCCA
This 90-nucleotide transfer RNA is filed under the name Planctomycetota bacterium. RNAcentral describes it as "tRNA-Ser". It matches the Rfam family "tRNA". Rfam says of the family: Transfer RNA (tRNA) molecules are approximately 80 nucleotides in length. Their secondary structure includes four short double-helical elements and three loops (D, anti-codon, and T loops). Further hydrogen bonds mediate the characteristic L-shaped molecular structure. tRNAs have two regions of fundamental functional importance: the anti-codon, which is responsible for specific mRNA codon recognition, and the 3' end, to which the tRNAs corresponding amino acid is attached (by aminoacyl-tRNA synthetases). tRNAs cope with the degeneracy of the genetic code in two manners: having more than one tRNA (with a specific anti-codon) for a particular amino acid; and 'wobble' base-pairing, i.e. permitting non-standard base-pairing at the 3rd anti-codon position. Lineage: Bacteria; Pseudomonadati; Planctomycetota. The record is from RNAcentral.